This 90-nucleotide ribosomal RNA is filed under the name uncultured bacterium. Its description in RNAcentral is "partial 16S ribosomal RNA". It matches the Rfam family "Bacterial small subunit ribosomal RNA", at positions 1393 to 1482 of the family's 1533-position model. The record is from RNAcentral.
CCCGUCACACCAUGAAAGUCGGCUGUACCAGAAGUCGCUGCGCUAACCGCAAGGAGGCAGGCGCCCAAGGUAUGGUCGAUGAUUGGGGUG